Molecule: ribosomal RNA, 1240 nt
Filed under: metagenome
Description: bacterial LSU rRNA
Rfam family: Bacterial large subunit ribosomal RNA
Source: RNAcentral
UGAAUACGAGACGCUACGGCGUCGAAGCAGUCUAUGUCAUACUUCCAAGAAAAGCUUGCACUGUCAUAAACAAAUAAUGCCUGUACCAUAACCGACACAGGUGGGUAGGUAGAGUAUACUAAGGGGCGCGAGAUAACUCUCUCUAAGGAACUCGGCAAAAUGACUCCGUAACUUCGGGAGAAGGAGUGCCUUAUUUAUAAGGUUGCAAUAACAAGAUCCAAGCAACUGUUUAUCAAAAACACAGGUCUCCGCUAAGUCGUAAGACGAUGUAUGGGGGCUGACGCCUGCCCAGUGCCAGAAGGUUAAAGAAGUUGGUUAGCAUUAGCGAAGCUGAUAACUGAAGCCCUGGUGAACGGCGGCCGUAACAAUAACGGUCCUAAGGUAGCGAAAUUCCUUGUCGGGUAAGUUCCGACCCGCACGAAAGGCGUAAUGAUUUGGAUACUGUCUCGGAGAGGGGCUCGGUGAAAUAGACUUGUCUGUGAAGAUGCGGACUACCUGCACCUGGACAGAAAGACCCUAUGAAGCUUUACUGUAACCUGAAAUUGAAAUUGGACUUUAUUUGCGCAGUAUAGGUGGGAGGCGUUGAGAAUAUUCUUGCGGGAAUAUUGGAGCCAUCAGUGGGAUACCACUCUUGUAAUGUUAGAUUUCUAACUUUGAAUCAUUAUCUGGUCAAAGAACAGUUUCAGGCGGGCAGUUUGACUGGGGCGUCGCCUCCUAAAUGGUAACGGAGGCGCACAAAGGUUUCCUCUGAACGGGUAGAAAUCGUAUCUAGAGUGUAAAGGCAUAAGGAAGCUUGACUGUGAGACCUACAAGUCGAGCAGGGACGAAAGUCGGUCUUAGUGAUCUGACGGUGCUGAGUGGAAAGGCCGUCACUCAACGGAUAAAAGUUACUCUAGGAUAACAGGCUGAUCUCCCCUAAGAGUUCACAUCGACGGGGAGGUUUGGCACCUCGAUGUCGGCUCAUCGCAUCCUGGGGCGGUAGUACGUCCCAAGGGUUGGGCUGUUCGCCCAUGAAAGCGGUACGCGAGCUGGGUUCAGAACGUCGUGAGACAGUUCGGUCCAUAUCCGGUGUAGGCGUUAGAAUAUUGAGAGGAGCCUUCUUUAGUACGAGAGGACCGAGAAGGACAUACCUCUGGUGUACCAGUUAUCGUGCCAACGGUAAACGCUGGGUAGCUAUGUAUGGAGAGGAUAACCGCUGAAAGCAUCUAAGUGGGAAGCCCACCUCAAGAUAAGUAUUCUC